This 83-nucleotide ribosomal RNA is filed under the name Escherichia coli. Its description in RNAcentral is "partial 16S ribosomal RNA". It matches the Rfam family "Bacterial small subunit ribosomal RNA", at positions 1451 to 1533 of the family's 1533-position model. Lineage: Bacteria; Pseudomonadati; Pseudomonadota; Gammaproteobacteria; Enterobacterales; Enterobacteriaceae. The record is from RNAcentral.
CGCUUACCACGUUGUUAUUCAUGACUGGGGUGAAGUCGUAACAAGGUAACCGUAGGGGAACCUGCGGUUGGAUCACCUCCUUA